Molecule: ribosomal RNA, 465 nt
Filed under: Vreelandella stevensii
Lineage: Bacteria; Pseudomonadati; Pseudomonadota; Gammaproteobacteria; Oceanospirillales; Halomonadaceae
Description: partial 16S ribosomal RNA
Rfam family: Bacterial small subunit ribosomal RNA
Source: RNAcentral
CCUACGGGCGGCAGCAGUGGGGAAUAUUGGACAAUGGGGGCAACCCUGAUCCAGCCAUGCCGCGUGUGUGAAGAAGGCCCUCGGGUUGUAAAGCACUUUCAGUGAAGAAGAACGCCUGGUGGUUAAUACCCAUCAGGAAAGACAUCACUCACAGAAGAAGCACCGGCUAACUCCGUGCCAGCAGCCGCGGUAAUACGGAGGGUGCGAGCGUUAAUCGGAAUUACUGGGCGUAAAGCGCGCGUAGGUGGCUUGAUAAGCCGGUUGUGAAAGCCCCGGGCUCAACCUGGGAACGGCAUCCGGAACUGUCAAGCUAGAGUGCAGGAGAGGAAGGUAGAAUUCCCGGUGUAGCGGUGAAAUGCGUAGAGAUCGGGAGGAAUACCAGUGGCGAAGGCGGCCUUCUGGACUGACACUGACACUGAGGUGCGAAAGCGUGGGUAGCAAACAGGAUUAGAUACCCCUGUAGUC